RNAcentral lists this small RNA (31 nucleotides) under Bombyx mori (domestic silkworm). RNAcentral's name for it is "ovarian small RNA-33302". Lineage: Eukaryota; Metazoa; Arthropoda; Insecta; Lepidoptera; Bombycidae. The record is from RNAcentral.
UGCAACAAUAUGAAUGGUAACAAUAACAAAC